AUGGUGGGGAAAGGAGGCGAGGCCGCGGCGUCGGCGCAGCACAAGGAGGAGCACGAGGAAGACGGCGACAUGGUUGGCGUGGUGAAGCUGAUCAGCGCCGAGGGUUUCGAGUUCGUCAUCGACAAGAAGGCAGCCAUGGUCUCCAACACCCUCAGGAACAUGCUCACCUCACCUGGUGGCUUCGCGGAGACGCGCGAGGGCGAGGUGAGGUUCCCGGAGAUCAGCACCGCGAUCCUAGAGAAGAUCUGCCAGUACUUCUACUGGUCGCUCCACUACGCCAGGUCACAUGCUCUGUAUCAUUUGUGUGAAGUCACCUCUUAUACACUACUACAACAAUCACGACACGCCAACAACACAUGCAGCUUUUGCAUCAAGCUACAAAUACGAUAUGGUUCCUACCACCUAAGCUACUCUGUCUCUGUUGUAGCUGUACCAAACCUAGAAAUUUUUUGUUAA
Molecule: ribosomal RNA, 456 nt
Filed under: Triticum aestivum (bread wheat)
Lineage: Eukaryota; Viridiplantae; Streptophyta; Magnoliopsida; Poales; Poaceae
Description: partial small subunit ribosomal RNA
Source: RNAcentral